Magnolia sinica is the source of this 927-nucleotide long non-coding RNA. RefSeq lists it as uncharacterized. NCBI's taxonomy places the organism in Eukaryota, Viridiplantae, Streptophyta, Magnoliopsida, Magnoliales, Magnoliaceae. The transcript is spliced from 2 exons. The record is from RefSeq and is a predicted model, not a curated record.
UCCACUUCAAGAAGGAAUCUCUGUUUUCCUUGCCUGUCCUCCUUUUUCAAAACUCUCUCUUUCUUUCUCUUCUAUAAAUCUCUCCAAUCCAUUGCCAGAUUCCUUUACAAUCUCUCUUUUGGCAUGUCGCCCGGGCUCCCACCUUUUUCCUCAGAUCCAUCCUCUCUCAGGAUCCUUCAAAUUCCACAACAAGUUCCAUUGAUCCCAUUCCAUGAAAUUCCUUACAUGUUAAUUUCACCAAUUUGCCUGAGAGCAACAUAUAUUGGGCUAGAAUUUGAAGCUUCCACCCAUGUUCUUCCCAUGGUUUUAAAAAACCGAUAGGCAGGAUGCGAGUCGUACGAGUCAACUCAGAUUCAGUACUACUAGUCCAAUUCAACACCACAAUUCGUCCCCUCCCAACUCGGUUGAGUUGUGACCCAACUCACCGAGUCUAAAAACCAUGGUUCUUGCACACCCAUGACUAUGAACCCCCUCACCAAUUGAAGUAUCGCUAAAAAAGCAAUAUACUCAGCCUCGGUGAAUGAAAGAGCAAUGGAUGUCUAUUUCUUACUUAUCGUCAGCAAGCAUGAAAGGUUACACGCUACCAAGAGACAAGACACCGAUGUACGGUUCAGAUCUCAUGCAUGUUUUGUCGAUGGUAAGUUAUGCAGGAUAAAUUGGUAAGUGCCAUGUUAUGAUCUGGGUAGAAAUUGUCUGAAUUAUAGAGGGUUUGAGCCUCAUGAGGAUCUUGAUUUGAUGAUCCAGACCGUUCAGAUGGUAGGCAUCACCAUGAAUAAGAGAUGCCCUCAAAUUCUAUUAGUUGGAGGGUCCUAACCCCACAAUCAUAGGCUUCUUUUAUUAAAUGUGGACCAAUGUUGUAUUAUUUUCUUUGAAGUGUAUUCAUGGUCAUCAGUCAAGGGGUUAGGAUCUUCCAGUCUAAGAGUUUUA